RNAcentral lists this ribosomal RNA (254 nucleotides) under uncultured bacterium. RNAcentral's name for it is "partial 16S ribosomal RNA". It matches the Rfam family "Bacterial small subunit ribosomal RNA", at positions 524 to 776 of the family's 1533-position model. The record is from RNAcentral.
UACAGAGGUCUCAAGCGUUGUUCGGAUUCAUUGGGCGUAAAGGGUGCGUAGGCGGCGCGGUAAGUCGGGUGUGAAAUCUCGGGGCUUAACUCCGAAACUGCAUUCGAUACUGCCGUGCUUGAGGACUGGGAGAGGAGACUGGAAUUUACGGUGUAGCGGUGAAAUGCGUAGAUAUCGUAAGGAAGACCAGUGGCGAAGGCGGGUCUCUGGACAGUUCCUGACGCUGAGGCACGAAGGCCAGGGGAGCAAACGGG